This 1104-nucleotide long non-coding RNA is filed under the name Androctonus crassicauda. Lineage: Eukaryota; Metazoa; Arthropoda; Arachnida; Scorpiones; Buthidae. The record is from RNAcentral.
UCCAGUACAGCUCCCUUAGUACUCUAUUUGAGUGGAAAGGGGCAAUCAAAAUUUAGCCACCAAGCUUAUCAUACAAAAGAAAAGAAAGACCACUCUGUAUCAUCAAUACAAGCAAUACAUGAUUAAAUAAUAAUAUUUUAUUUAAUCAGAGCCACUCCAGAUUGUUUACUCAAUGAUAGCAACAAGUCUACUGAAUUACAGCCUUGUCCUAUCCACAUUGCCUGCAUAACUUGUCAUGAGGUCCUUUGAUGUACCGACAACAAGGGAAUCCUCAUGAGCCUCAGGCUUGUGCUGCUCACCUGGCUUGUCUUGUGACUUGUCUCCCCAUUCACAUUACUCACGAACAAAUCAGUUAAGUACAAACAUGAGUAAUGUGGACCCAGCUUUAGAAGACAUCUUCAUUCAAUUGGGAUUGCAGAUAGUUGCAAUUAUGGAUACUGGAGAGGAGAAGAAACUCCUCUUCAUGUUUUAUGUGAAUGUGUAGCCAUUUCACAGCUAAAGAAUGAUUUUCUAAGAUUGCAUUUUUCUGCACCAGACAAUCUUUUUGCAAUCUCAUUGAAGAAGCUAGCAUCUUUUUUGUGUGUAAGAUGGGAUUUCUUAUAUGAUGAUCCUGUUUUACGGGUAUACAAUAGAUCACUGAGUGAGUGCUAAGGUUGUUUAAAGCCUCUCAUUCCUAAUAUUAUUAUUAUGCAUCUAUAUAUUUCUCUGCAUUAUUCAACAUUCUUUAACAUUGUCAUUUCAUAGAAGAAUAUUUUUAGAUUUUUUCACAUUCUGUUCUCUUCAUAUACAUACAUUAUGAUUCAAUCUUCAGUCAUUCUUCUAACUUAUCCAAAUUAUCUUAAUUUCAGUAUUGCUGAAAUUGUAUUCAAACAUCCUUUUUUAUAUAUUCUAAUAAUGAAAUAUGAUGAACUUUAUAAAAUUUCUCUUUUGCUUUAUUUUAAGUAUCUUCCACAUUCUCUUUCUUUAGAUUCAUUUUUAAAUAUAUUAAUAGAUGCUUUGUAUCUGUUGUUAAUUAUUCUGAUUACUCUUUUCUUUCAUUUCUUUCUUUUUUUUUUUGAGUUCAUUUUCCCAAGAUCUUUUAUAUAUAAACAGUGAUCAAUCUCC